This 253-nucleotide ribosomal RNA is filed under the name uncultured bacterium. Its description in RNAcentral is "partial 16S ribosomal RNA". It matches the Rfam family "Bacterial small subunit ribosomal RNA", at positions 524 to 776 of the family's 1533-position model. The record is from RNAcentral.
GACGGAGGAUGCAAGUGUUAUCCGGAAUCACUGGGCGUAAAGCGUCUGUAGGUGGUUCGAAAAGUCCACUGUUAAAAAUUGAGGCUUAACUUCAAAGAUGCCGUGGAAACUUUCAAACUAGAGUAUGGUAGGGGUAGAGGGAAUUUCCAGUGGAGCGGUGAAAUGCGUAGAUAUUGGAAAGAACACCGAUGGCGAAGGCACUUUACUGGGCUAUUACUAACACUCAGAGACGAAAGCUAGGGUAGCAAAUGGG